This 608-nucleotide ribosomal RNA is filed under the name Diaporthe nobilis. RNAcentral describes it as "eukaryotic LSU rRNA". The stretch from base 231 to 384 matches the Rfam family "5.8S ribosomal RNA". Lineage: Eukaryota; Fungi; Ascomycota; Sordariomycetes; Diaporthales; Diaporthaceae. The record is from RNAcentral.
UGAAGUAAAAAGUCGUAACAAGGUCUCCGUUGGUGAACCAGCGGAGGGAUCAUUGCUGGAACGCGCCCCAGGCGCACCCAGAAACCCUUUGUGAACUUAUACCUUACUGUUGCCUCGGCGCAUGCCGGCCCCCCUGGGGGCCCCUCCUUCGGGAGGAGCAGGCACGCCGGCGGCCAACCUAACUCUUGUUUUUACACUGAAACUCUGAGAAUAAAACAUAAAUGAAUCAAAACUUUCAACAACGGAUCUCUUGGUUCUGGCAUCGAUGAAGAACGCAGCGAAAUGCGAUAAGUAAUGUGAAUUGCAGAAUUCAGUGAAUCAUCGAAUCUUUGAACGCACAUUGCGCCCUCUGGUAUUCCGGAGGGCAUGCCUGUUCGAGCGUCAUUUCAACCCUCAAGCCUGGCUUGGUGAUGGGGCACUGCUUCUUACCCAAGAAGCAGGCCCUGAAAUUCAGUGGCGAGCUCGCCAGGACCCCGAGCGCAGUAGUUAAACCCUCGCUCUGGAAGGCCCUGGCGGUGCCCUGCCGUUAAACCCCCAACUUCUGAAAAUUUGACCUCGGAUCAGGUAGGAAUACCCGCUGAACUUAAGCAUAUCAAUAAGCGGAGGAA